This 484-nucleotide ribosomal RNA is filed under the name uncultured bacterium. RNAcentral describes it as "partial 16S ribosomal RNA". It matches the Rfam family "Bacterial small subunit ribosomal RNA", at positions 30 to 507 of the family's 1533-position model. The record is from RNAcentral.
AUUGAACGCUGGCGGCAGGCCUAACACAUGCAAGUCGAGCGGAUGAAGGGAGCUUGCUCCUGGAUUCAGCGGCGGACGGGUGAGUAAUGCCUAGGAAUCUGCCUGGUAGUGGGGGAUAACGUCCGGAAACGGGCGCUAAUACCGCAUACGUCCUGAGGGAGAAAGUGGGGGAUCUUCGGACCUCACGCUAUCAGAUGAGCCUAGGUCGGAUUAGCUAGUUGGUGGGGUAAAGGCCUACCAAGGCGACGAUCCGUAACUGGUCUGAGAGGAUGAUCUGUCACACUGGAACUGAGACACGGUCCAGACUCCUACGGGAGGCAGCAGUGGGGAAUAUUGGACAAUGGGCGAAGGCCUGAUCCAGCCAUGCCGCGUGUGUGAAGAAGGUCUUCGGAUUGUAAAGCACUUUAAGUUGGGAGGAAGGGCAGUAAGUUAAUACCUUGCUGUUUUGACGUUACCAACAGAAUAAGCACCGGCUAACUUCGUG